GUGAACCUGCGGAAGGAUCAUUGUCGAAACCUGCAAGUCAGACCGCGAACACGUGUUUAACCUCGUCGGGGCUCCGGCGCGGGGGCGCGUCCCCCCUCCUGUAUGUCAAAACGACUCUCGGCAACGGAUAUCUCGGCUCUCGCAUCGAUGAAGAACGUAGCGAAAUGCGAUACUUGGUGUGAAUUGCAGAAUCCCGUGAACCAUCGAGUCUUUGAACGCAAGUUGCGCCCGAAGCCUUCGGGCCGAGGGCACGCCUGCCUGGGCGUCACGCAUCGCGUCGCCCCCCUCCCCCGCUCCUACGGAGAGGGCGGGGCGGGGGCGGAGACUGGCCUCCCGUGCGCCCCCGUCGCGCGGCCGGCCCAAAUGCGAUCCCCCGGCGACGCGCGUCGCGACCAGUGGUGGUUGAACCGUCAACUCGCGUGCUGUCAGUCGUGCCCCACGGCGUCGUCCGGUCGGGCAUCACGAACGACCCAAUCAGCGCUCGGCGCUUUCGACCGCGACCCCAGGUCAGGCGGGAUUACCCG
Molecule: ribosomal RNA, 524 nt
Filed under: Spathacanthus parviflorus
Lineage: Eukaryota; Viridiplantae; Streptophyta; Magnoliopsida; Lamiales; Acanthaceae
Description: eukaryotic LSU rRNA
Rfam family: 5.8S ribosomal RNA (bases 113-268)
Source: RNAcentral